GUGGGGAAUUUUGGACAAUGGGCGCAAGCCUGAUCCAGCAAUGCCGCGUGUGUGAAGAAGGCCUUCGGGUUGUAAAGCACUUUUGGCAGGAAAGAAAUAGUGCGUGCUAAUACCAUGCGCGAAUGACGGUACCCGCAGAAUAAGCACCGGCUAACUACGUGCCAGCAGCCGCGGUAAGACGUAGGGUGCAAGCGUUAAUCGGAAUUACUGGGCGUAAAGCGUGCGCAGGCGGUUUUGUAAGACAGGUGUGAAAUCCCCGGGCUCAACCUGGGAACUGCACUUGUGACUGCAAGGCUAGAGUGUGUCAGAGGGAGGUGGAAUUCCGCGUGUAGCAGUGAAAUGCGUAGAGAUGCGGAGGAACACCGAUGGCGAAGGCAGCCUCCUGGGAUAACACUGACGCUCAGGCACGAAAGCGUGGGGAGCAAACAGGAUUAGAAACCCGAGUAGUCC
RNAcentral lists this ribosomal RNA (450 nucleotides) under uncultured bacterium. Its description in RNAcentral is "partial 16S ribosomal RNA". It matches the Rfam family "Bacterial small subunit ribosomal RNA", at positions 354 to 796 of the family's 1533-position model. The record is from RNAcentral.